This 753-nucleotide ribosomal RNA is filed under the name Halomonas sp. RNAcentral's name for it is "bacterial SSU rRNA". It matches the Rfam family "Bacterial small subunit ribosomal RNA", at positions 42 to 786 of the family's 1533-position model. The record is from RNAcentral. Lineage: Bacteria; Pseudomonadati; Pseudomonadota; Gammaproteobacteria; Oceanospirillales; Halomonadaceae.
GCUGCGCAGCUACCAUGCAAGUCGAGCGGAACGAUCCUAGCUUGCUAGGAGGCGUCGAGCGGCGGACGGGUGAGUAAUGCAUAGGAAUCUGCCCGGUAGUGGGGGAUAACCUGGGGAAACCCAGGCUAAUACCGCAUACGCCCUACGGGGGAAAGCAGGGGAUCUUCGGACCUUGCGCUAUCGGAUGAGCCUAUGUCGGAUUAGCUAGUUGGUGAGGUAACGGCUCACCAAGGCUGCGAUCCGUAGCUGGUCUGAGAGGAUGAUCAGCCACAUCGGGACUGAGACACGGCCCGAACUCCUACGGGAGGCAGCAGUGGGGAAUAUUGGACAAUGGGCGAAAGCCUGAUCCAGCCAUGCCGCGUGUGUGAAGAAGGCCUUCGGGUUGUAAAGCACUUUCAGUGAGGAAGAAAGCCUUGAGGUUAAUACCCUCGAGGGAGGACAUCACUCACAGAAGAAGCACCGGCUAACUCCGUGCCAGCAGCCGCGGUAAUACGGAGGGUGCGAGCGUUAAUCGGAAUUACUGGGCGUAAAGCGCGCGUAGGCGGCUUGAUAAGCCGGUUGUGAAAGCCCCGGGCUCAACCUGGGAACGGCAUCCGGAACUGUCAGGCUAGAGUGCAGGAGAGGAAGGUAGAAUUCCCGGUGUAGCGGUGAAAUGCGUAGAGAUCGGGAGGAAUACCAGUGGCGAAGGCGGCCUUCUGGACUGACACUGACGCUGAGGUGCGAAAGCGUGGGUAGCAAACAGGAUUAGUCCCC